Molecule: long non-coding RNA, 2784 nt
Filed under: Sus scrofa (pig)
Lineage: Eukaryota; Metazoa; Chordata; Mammalia; Artiodactyla; Suidae
Description: lncRNA (ENSSSCG00030067496.1)
Source: RNAcentral
UGAAGUUGAAAAACAAAGUGUGCAGUGGGUGAGAGAGAGCUGCAUUUGUAGCACUAAAUACUAUGAAUGUAUCACCAGAUGUCCAGGUAGUGAGGGGGUGGAGAAGGAUUUAAUUGGAAAAGAUGACACAAAAACUAGGCCUUGAUGGUUACAUAGGAAGUUAGCUGAGUAACAGUUACUGUAUAUUCUGAGAACUGCUCUUCUCUUGCCCACACCCUCCACCAAGGGUUUUGCCCUUGACAGGCAUGUUGUUACGUUUACAUCCUCUCCGUUGGCCAUAAAUAAACCCCUGAUCCAAACUGCUCCAGAUGUUCUCUCCCAGGAAUUAGGAAUUUGGACUUAAUCAGUCCAGACAGGCACCAUUUGAACUGAAGGGUGUAAAUUCAGGGAAUAUGUGUCAGCCAUUCUCUGUUAUCUAAAUGUAGGGGCUGAGAAAGCCAGGCUGGGAAGAUGGAUUUAAAAAAUGACACCCAGAGAGAAGCAGAGGUAAGACAUGAAAAGCAAGUACUCCUGAGUUACUGGUAGCUUUCUCAUUCCUGCCACCACACCAAGCAGUCCUGUAUUUUGUAAAACACUCCAGUAUCCUUCUAAUAAAAUUUCACUUUCGGCUUCAGUGAAAACAAACAAACAAAGCAAACAAACAACAACAAAGGGAAACAAGGGAUAGACGGUUGUGAGAGAAAUGGGAAUAGAUAGUCCAGCUGGGAGCUGCCAUUACAAGGGUGCAAAAAUGUUAGAAUUGAGCAGUACUUUAUUUAGUUGAAUAUAAAUUCAUGUUUUUUGUAUUUACUACAGUAUUGGAGUCAAGAUUAUCAAAUGUAUAUUCUCAUUAGAGAAAAUCUAACAAAAUCACUCAAUUCAUAAUACAGCAACCUCCAGACCUGAAUGAGUUUGAUGAGAAAGCAUGGGAAGAAAUGCCAGGUCUAUCAGGAGAAAACAGCAAAAUGCGAUAAGCUUUCAAUUGGCCUGGAAGGACACUGUGGCCCUGGGACAGAUGGACAGCCAUUCCUGCUGGUCUAUGUUGCUGACACUGUCGGUCUGACAUUGGAGCUGUUCUGUCAACUGUGGAUUCUGCUGCCUGCAGUUCCCGAGUAGGCCUGGGGCUACAGCUAGGUGGCAGCAGGAUUGAGCUCAGCGGCUUUUCCGUUGAAGUGCAUGGCAGCUUCCAAGUUUUCCACUUUGCUCAACUCAGUGUUUUGGUUUUGAAGCAUUCUACCUGGCUCAGUCCUUCUUGGAAGGUGGGUUCCCUCUGGGUUUCUCAGGUCCUGGGGCAUCUCCUUGCCUGACUCAACCUUCUCAUCUAUUUCUAGAAGAUUUGGAGGAAGUAUGAGAUUACUGCCUUCCAAUAUCAUCCCCAAAGCAGUCACUGUCUUGGAGCACACUGAGUGUACAAGAAUGUACACUCUUGUGCUUUUGAAAAGGAUACUAAUUUAAAUAGCUGAGAUAAACGCAUUGCUAGAAGAAUUAAGGUAGUAUAUCCUGAAAAAUCUGUUUUACUGUUAUCUUCAUCCUCAUUGGUAUUCAUUCAGAUUCUUUGCUCUGUAGAAGCAAACCUUAAUGGGUUUUGUAUGACCAAGGGACAUUUGGGAUUUGUGGGCACAGUUUUGGUUUUCACAAUGAUGGAGGGACACCAAUAGCACUUAGUGGCCAACAGCCAGGGAUGAUAGCCAUAUGGCAAUACAAGAAUAGUUUGGCACAAGAAGAGAUUUCUCGCAUAACUUUGAAAUAUUUUGCUUAACAUUCAUAUACUCGAAAUACCUAUUUAUAAUUAUCUGAACUUAGAAUCUCAUGCUGUUUUAUACAUAAACAAAAAAGUAUUUAGAGCAUGUUUCUAAAUAUACCAGAUUUUCUAGGAAUGCCACUACAGUGUAAAUGGAAGUGUAAAUUUAUGUGUAUGUUUGUUUUUAUUACUAGGAAUUUAAUCCCAAAAUACUCUGGGAAUUACACUAUUUCCCUAGCUUAAAGUCUAGACUAGAAUUAGUCUCAGUGGCGUUUUUCCUGAUCUUGUUCCUCAGAGCACCCUUCCCUGUUGGCAAAGAGGCAAAGAAUCUCCACUCAAGUAAAAGGCUAUUGCUCCCUAAGGUUUAGAGAAGAGCUGCUACACAUUCGCCACCCCAGGUGCCCUUUCCCUGGUUAUGCUAGGAUCUUACAAAAGGACCUCCCAAGAAGAGGUAAUCACAAACUCAUCUUUGCCAUACCAGCCUAAGGGGAACGGAAGCAAUUUAGAAAGAGGGGCGAAUCCAAACAGAGAGCAUGCCACACAGCAGAGCUUGUAACCCCUUAGUUCCUCCCUGGGAAAGUCCUUCCAACACAAUGGCCUACUUUGUCCCUCUAUCAAUACUGAGAAAGAGAGGCUUAGGGCCAAUUUUAUGACAUAUACUGAAUACUUUCAAUAAUUUACCAGAACUAUUUUUCUUUGUGAUUUUUAACCUCGUUUGAGAUAAUUUUCUCAAAAGGGGAAAUAAGCAAUUAUAACCUAAUAAUUACUAUAGACUUCAGAUGCACAUUUAUUACUAGGAUGUUAGAACUGUACAUUUUAAUCUUUGUAGGACUGUAGCAUGUGAAGUUCUUCUAAUAUUACAUGAAUUACUAUAUUAGAAAAAAUAAUCUACUAGUAUAUAUCAGUGUAUUGAAUACUUUAUGCUAAAACAUUUAAAUUUUUCUCACUAAAAGUUUACUGUAAAUCGGUGCUCUAUUUAUUUCAUUAUAUUUUUUCUCUAUCCUAACUUACAAUCUGUCCACAACCAUUUUUAUUGAUUUUCAAUAAAAGGGUGUUCUAACACA